Molecule: non-coding RNA, 159 nt
Filed under: Erysipelothrix sp. HDW6A
Lineage: Bacteria; Bacillati; Bacillota; Erysipelotrichia; Erysipelotrichales; Erysipelotrichaceae
Description: 6S / SsrS RNA
Rfam family: 6S / SsrS RNA
About the family: E. coli 6S RNA was the first non coding RNA to be sequenced, but its function was unknown until recently.
Source: Rfam by way of RNAcentral
AGAUGCCCAGAAGGACUAAUAUUUUUCCGACACAUUGAUAUAAGGGAAUCCGGAUGUAGGUUAGUGGCGUGAAGGCUAGAUUUAUCUAGAAUCCCAAGCUGAUCGACAGGAUACCCACCUGGAUAAAACAGGGGACAAUAUCAACCUUUUGGGUAUUUU